AUACGGAGGGUGCAAGCGUUAUUCGGAAUCACUGGGCGUAAAGGACGCGUAGGCGGGUUGGCAAGUCAGAUGUGAAAUCCUACAGCUUAACUGUAGAACUGCAUUUGAAACUGCUAACCUAGAGUAUGGGAGGGGGAGAUGGAAUUAGUGGUGUAAGGGUAAAAUCCGUAGAUAUCACUAGGAAUACCGAAAGCGAAGGCGAUCUCCUGGAACAUAACUGACGCUAAGGCGUGAAAGCGUGGGGAGCAAACAGGAUUAGAAACCCUAGUAGUCC
RNAcentral lists this ribosomal RNA (274 nucleotides) under uncultured bacterium. RNAcentral describes it as "partial 16S ribosomal RNA". It matches the Rfam family "Bacterial small subunit ribosomal RNA", at positions 523 to 796 of the family's 1533-position model. The record is from RNAcentral.